This 764-nucleotide ribosomal RNA is filed under the name Ligilactobacillus acidipiscis. RNAcentral describes it as "bacterial SSU rRNA". It matches the Rfam family "Bacterial small subunit ribosomal RNA", at positions 54 to 785 of the family's 1533-position model. Lineage: Bacteria; Bacillati; Bacillota; Bacilli; Lactobacillales; Lactobacillaceae. The record is from RNAcentral.
CAUGCAAGUCGAACGCAAUCUUUUAACAAUGAGUGCUUGCACUCAGCGUUUUAAGUGCGAGUGGCGAACGGGUGAGUAACACGUGGGCAAUCUGCCCAAAAGUGGGGGAUAACACUUGGAAACAGGUGCUAAUACCGCAUCAACCGGCUGACCGCAUGGUCGGCCGGGCAAAGACGGCGUCAGCUGUCGCUUUUGGAUGAGCCCGCGGCGUAUUAACUAGUUGGUAAGGUAACGGCUUACCAAGGUGAUGAUACGUAGCCGAACUGAGAGGUUGAUCGGCCACAUUGGGACUGAGACACGGCCCAAACUCCUACGGGAGGCAGCAGUAGGGAAUCUUCCACAAUGGACGCAAGUCUGAUGGAGCAACGCCGCGUGUAUGAAGAAGGUCUUCGGAUCGUAAAAUACUGUUGUCAGAGAAGAACACGUGAUAGAGUAACUGCUAUGGCGCUGACGGUAUCUGACCAGCAAGUCACGGCUAACUACGUGCCAGCAGCCGCGGUAAUACGUAGGUGGCAAGCGUUGUCCGGAUUUAUUGGGCGUAAAGGGAACGCAGGCGGUCUUUUAAGUCUGAUGUGAAAGCCUUCGGCUUAACCGGAGAAGUGCAUUGGAAACUGGAAGACUUGAGUGCAGAAGAGGAGAGUGGAACUCCAUGUGUAGCGGUGAAAUGCGUAGAUAUAUGGAAGAACACCAGUGGCGAAAGCGGCUCUCUGGUCUGUAACUGACGCUGAGGUUCGAAAGCGUGGGGAGCGAACAGGAUUAGAUAC